Small nucleolar RNA from Ochotona princeps (American pika), 85 nucleotides. The record is from Ensembl. Lineage: Eukaryota; Metazoa; Chordata; Mammalia; Lagomorpha; Ochotonidae.
GGCUAUGUUCUUAACACUGAACUUCCCUGUGUACACUUUAGCUCAGGCCUUAUACCUGGUCUGCAUUGUGAAUAGGGAGACAUGG